Molecule: unclassified non-coding RNA, 562 nt
Filed under: Hevea brasiliensis (rubber tree)
Lineage: Eukaryota; Viridiplantae; Streptophyta; Magnoliopsida; Malpighiales; Euphorbiaceae
Source: RNAcentral
GGAACUAUCUGGGGAAUCAAAUUCGCCGCCAACAACGACGAAGCUGAAACCAAUAGAAGCGACGUCGGAGAGCUUCCAAGAAUUCGGCCAAGUCAUAGAGCCAUCCCCAGAUGGCUUAGAGUUCGGUCCUCAAGAUGCUCAGUUGAACCUUAGCCAAGGAAUUCCCAGGUUCUAUAUUAUGGAACUCCAAGGCCGUCCGCUUAAGUUCUCGACGAUUACCCAUCACGCCAGCGUCACCCAGUGCCUUGGAUCCAUCGGAGGUCACGUUUGGUAUCUGGGUGUAGCCAAGCCAUCGAUCUUGGAUUCAAAGGAAACAGAAAGGGACGUUGUUCAGUCACAUUGUGGGCAUUUCUAUGUGCCUCCUGCUGUGGAUGAAGUGCGAGUUUUUAGAAUCUCUGGGCCUAAAUUCAUUAAACUUCAUCUUGGAACUUGGCACGCAGGGCCUCUGUUUGAGGGAGAUUCCAUGGAUUUCUACAAUUUGGAAUUAAGCAACACCAAUGUGGUGGACCACACAACACAUAGCUUCAAGAAGCAAAAUGGAGUGAUAUUUUCAGUAGAGGAG